RNAcentral lists this ribosomal RNA (386 nucleotides) under uncultured bacterium. RNAcentral describes it as "bacterial SSU rRNA". It matches the Rfam family "Bacterial small subunit ribosomal RNA", at positions 29 to 416 of the family's 1533-position model. The record is from RNAcentral.
AUUGAACGCUGGCGGAAUGCUUUACACAUGCAAGUCGGGCGGCAGCGCGGGGGCAACCCUGGCGGCGAGCGGCGAACGGGUGAGUAAUACAUCGGAACGUGUCCUUGAGUGGGGGAUAGCUCGGCGAAAGCCGGAUUAAUACCGCAUAAGCUCUGAGGAGGAAAGCGGGGGACUGGUAACGGCCUCGCGCUGUUGGAGCGGCCGAUGUCGGAUUAGCUAGUUGGUGGAGAAAGGCCCACCAAGGCGACGAUCCGUAGCUGGUCUGAGAGGAUGAUCAGCCACACUGGAACUGAGACACGGUCCAGACUCCUACGGGAGGCAGCAGUGGGGAAUUUGGACAAUGGGGGCAACCCUGAUCCAGCCAUUCCGCGUGAGUGAAGAAGGCC